Molecule: ribosomal RNA, 301 nt
Filed under: uncultured bacterium
Lineage: Bacteria
Description: partial 16S ribosomal RNA
Rfam family: Bacterial small subunit ribosomal RNA
Source: RNAcentral
CAGUCGCCACGGGAAUACGUAGGUGGCAAGCGUUGUCCGGAAUUAUUGGGCGUAAAGGGCUCGCAGGCGGUUUGUCGCGUCUGCCGUGAAAGUCCGGGGCUCAACCCCGGAUCUGCGGUGGGUACGGGCAGACUAGAGUGAUGUAGGGGAGACUGGAAUUCCUGGUGUAGCGGUGAAAUGCGCAGAUAUCAGGAGGAACACCGAUGGCGAAGGCAGGUCUCUGGGCAUUAACUGACGCUGAGGAGCGAAAGCAUGGGGAGCGAACAGGAUUAGAUACCCCCGUAGUCCCUGUCUCUUAUAC